GACGAACGCUGGCGGCGGGCUUAACACAUGCAAGUCGAACGGAAAGGCCCUGCUUUUGUGGGGUGCUCGAGUGGCGAACGGGUGAGGAACACGUGAGUAACCUGCCCUUGACUUUGGGGUAACUUCAGGAAACUGGGGCUAAUACCGGAUAGGAGCUCCUGCUGCAUGGUGGGGGGUGGAAAGUUUCGGCGGUGGGGGAUGGACUCGCGGCUUAUCAGCUUGUUGGUGGGGUAGUGGCUUACCAAGGCUUGACGGGUAGCCGGCCUGGGAGGGUGACCGGCCACAUUGGGACUGAGAUACGGCCCAGACUCCUACGGGAGGCAGCAGUGGGGAAUAUUGCACAAUGGGCGGAAGCCUGAUGCAGCAACGCCGCGUGCGGGAUGACGGCCUUCGGGUUGUAAACCGCUUUCGCCUGUGACGAAGCGUGAGUGACGGUAAUGGGUAAAGAAGCACCGGCUAACUACGUG
Molecule: ribosomal RNA, 467 nt
Filed under: uncultured bacterium
Lineage: Bacteria
Description: partial 16S ribosomal RNA
Rfam family: Bacterial small subunit ribosomal RNA
Source: RNAcentral